CGGCAACAGCUCAAAUUUGAAAUCUGGCCACCCCCGCGGCGGCCCGAGUUGUAAUUUGCAGAGGAUGCUUUUGGCGCGGCGCCCUCCGAGUUCCCUGGAACGGGACGCCGGAGAGGGUGAGAGCCCCGUGCGGUGGGACGCCUAGCCUCUGUAAAGCUCCUUCGAC
RNAcentral lists this ribosomal RNA (166 nucleotides) under Hirsutella subramanianii. Its description in RNAcentral is "partial large subunit ribosomal RNA". It matches the Rfam family "Eukaryotic large subunit ribosomal RNA", at positions 99 to 261 of the family's 3401-position model. Lineage: Eukaryota; Fungi; Ascomycota; Sordariomycetes; Hypocreales; Ophiocordycipitaceae. The record is from RNAcentral.